GAAAUGGUAGUUCGGUGGUAGAAUUCUUGCCUUCUAUACGGGAGACCCAGGUUUGAUUCCUGGCCAGUGCA
RNAcentral lists this transfer RNA (71 nucleotides) under Loxodonta africana (African savanna elephant). It matches the Rfam family "tRNA". Rfam says of the family: Transfer RNA (tRNA) molecules are approximately 80 nucleotides in length. Their secondary structure includes four short double-helical elements and three loops (D, anti-codon, and T loops). Further hydrogen bonds mediate the characteristic L-shaped molecular structure. tRNAs have two regions of fundamental functional importance: the anti-codon, which is responsible for specific mRNA codon recognition, and the 3' end, to which the tRNAs corresponding amino acid is attached (by aminoacyl-tRNA synthetases). tRNAs cope with the degeneracy of the genetic code in two manners: having more than one tRNA (with a specific anti-codon) for a particular amino acid; and 'wobble' base-pairing, i.e. permitting non-standard base-pairing at the 3rd anti-codon position. Lineage: Eukaryota; Metazoa; Chordata; Mammalia; Proboscidea; Elephantidae. The record is from Rfam by way of RNAcentral.